This 197-nucleotide microRNA precursor is filed under the name Oryza rufipogon (brownbeard rice). Its description in RNAcentral is "MIR812 microRNA precursor family". It matches the Rfam family "MIR812 microRNA precursor family". The record is from Rfam by way of RNAcentral. Lineage: Eukaryota; Viridiplantae; Streptophyta; Magnoliopsida; Poales; Poaceae.
AAUAAGUGCAGCCGUGGAUAUCCGUGCCCAACGUUUGACCGUCCGUCUUAUUUGAAAAAUUUGAAAAUAUUUAGUCACACAAAAAAUACUAUUCAUGUUUUAUCAUCUAAUAGCAAUAAAAAUACUAAUCAUAAAAAAAUUUCAAAUAAGACGAACGGUUAAACGUUGAACGUGAAUAGUGCAAAACUACACUUAUU